AGUGAACGCUGGCGGCAGGCCUAACACAUGCAAGUCGAACGGCAGCACAGUAAGAGCUUGCUCUUACGGGUGGCGGGUGGCGGACGGGUGAGGUAGACACCGGAACCUACUUUUUCGUGGGGGAUAACGUAGGGAAACUAACACCAAUACCGCAUACGGCCUACGGGUGAAAGCAGGUGAUCUUUGGACCUUGCGCGUUUGAAUGAGCCGAUGUCGGAUUAGCUAGUUGGCGGGGUAAAGGCCUACCAAGGCGACGAUCCGUAGCUGGUCUGAGAGGAUGAUCAGCCACACUGGAACUGAGACACGGUCCAGACUCCUACGGGAGGCAGCAGUGGGGAAUAUUGGACAAUGGGCGAAAGCCUGAUCCAGCCAUACCGCGUGGGUGAAGAAGGCCUUCGGGUUGUAAAGUCCUUUUGUUGGGAAAGAAAAGCAGCAGGUUAAUACCCCGCUGUUCUGACGGUACCCGAAGAAUAAGCACCGGCUAACUACGUG
This 492-nucleotide ribosomal RNA is filed under the name uncultured bacterium. Its description in RNAcentral is "partial 16S ribosomal RNA". It matches the Rfam family "Bacterial small subunit ribosomal RNA", at positions 29 to 507 of the family's 1533-position model. The record is from RNAcentral.